UACGGGGGGAGCAAGCGUUGUUCGGAUUUAGUGGGCGUAAAGGGCGCGUAGGCGGUCGUGACAAGUCACUUGUGAAAUCUCCGGGCUUAACUCGGAACGGUCAAGUGAUACUGUCGGACUAGAGUACAGAAGGGGCAACUGGAAUUCUCGGUGUAGCGGUGAAAUGCGUAGAUAUCGAGAGGAACACCUGCGGCGAAGGCGGGUUGCUGGGCUGAUACUGACGCUGAGGCGCGAAAGCCAGGGGAGCGAACGGG
This 254-nucleotide ribosomal RNA is filed under the name uncultured bacterium. RNAcentral's name for it is "partial 16S ribosomal RNA". It matches the Rfam family "Bacterial small subunit ribosomal RNA", at positions 524 to 776 of the family's 1533-position model. The record is from RNAcentral.